Molecule: ribosomal RNA, 323 nt
Filed under: uncultured bacterium
Lineage: Bacteria
Description: bacterial SSU rRNA
Rfam family: Bacterial small subunit ribosomal RNA
Source: RNAcentral
GAUUAACGCUGGCGGCGUGCAUAACACAUGCAAGUCGAACGAUGAAACUUUACUGACUUCUUCGGAAAGAUUUAAAGCGGAUUAGUGGCGGACGGGUGAGUAACACGUGAGUAACCUGCCUUACACAAGGGGAUAGCCGUUGGAAACGACGAAUAAUACCCUAUGAAACUAUCACCUCGCAUGAAGCGAUAGUCAAAGUGUUAGCGGUGUAAGAUGGACUUGCGUCUGAUUAGCUAGUUGGUGAGAAAAAAGCCCACCAAGGCAACGAUCAGUAGCCGGCUUGAGAGAGUGUACGGCCACAUUGGGACUGAGACACGGCCCAG